Oreochromis niloticus (Nile tilapia) is the source of this 1918-nucleotide long non-coding RNA. RefSeq lists it as uncharacterized. The record is from RefSeq and is a predicted model, not a curated record. NCBI's taxonomy places the organism in Eukaryota, Metazoa, Chordata, Actinopteri, Cichliformes, Cichlidae. The transcript is spliced from 3 exons.
CUUCACUUUUCUAGUCUUCUACCUGUAAAACUCUAAGAGUGAAACAGCAAAUCCUGUUCUUGAAGAGGAAUUAUUAAAGAAUCAAAUCUUAUAACUAACUGUCAUAUACACACAAUACUGAGUGAUGAGGGAGAGGCAGUGACGAAGAGGAGGUGGGUUACACGAAGGCAUCUGCAAGGGAGAAUGUCAGAUGUCAUGUGAAAGUGAGAUUUAAAGUAGGCGGAGUGAAGGCUGAUUGGGCUGAAGAAGGCUGGCAGAAAGAUGGUUGGACUAGAUCGGUGACAUCACAAUUAGCUUGACAGCGUAGGAAAGUGAAAGUGACUUAAAGCUUAGAUUAGUCACCAACACCUGGGAAAGCAGACAGAUGUAGACUUCAGAUCUUCCUCAUCGAACUUACACAUAAGCUUCAUUACAACAGCACGACUAGAGUAGAAGUCUGAGUUCUGAACCGACAUGCAUGCAGCCCAGACCUUUUACCUCCUAAAAAGGUUUGGAGCAUCAUGAAACAAUAAAUGCAACAAUGAAGACCGAGGACUCUUGAGCAGCUAGAAUCCUAUAUCAUAUUUUCUCAGUUCCACACAUUUACAGACUGUUGUUAAAGGAGGACGGGAUGCUACACAGUGGUAAACACGGCCCUGUGCCUACUUUUCUGAGGCUUGUUCGUGUCAUCAAACUUAAAAUGAGCCAAUAUUUGUCUUGGUAUGGUACAUUUUCUCAGUUUAAACAUUUGCUAUGUUUUGUUCUAUUGUGGCGUUGUAGGUUUUAUUUAUUUAAUUUUUGUUUUAAUGUGGAAGUUUUGUGUCAUUCUACAAUAUCACAGUUCAGACUCAUUUCUAACAAUUACUGUUUGUUUGUUAAGUCUUACUUCACUUUACUUUGUUUGGGAACUCUACUGCUAUUUCAGUGUGCAUCUUAAUGUCUAGUCUGUUCUCAGUGACCAUUUUUACACAGUGUUACACACAGCACACUUUUGUCUUCAGCGUUUAAUUGUACCAGAGGACAUGAACUUCCUGUCACGCUUAAAAAAUGAGUGUCUGCACAUCAAGCCUUGCCUGAUUGAUGACCUCCAUUCAUGUGACAAAAAGGAAUUUAGCUUCAGAUUCCACAGAGUGACUGACUAAAUAUGUCAGGUAUGUUUAGUGACCACGAAUAGCUUUGACUGAUGUCAGCCAACAGGUUGCAUCGGAUUUGGAUAAGUUUUGAAUUGUGACAUUUUUACUUCUUUUAAGUACAAGUAGAGUAAAAUUUGAGGAAACAUAUUAAGAGAGAAUUUACAAGCAAUGAAUACAAUGAGUUUUUUUCCUCCACGUGGACCAGCUUGUGUAACAGGUUAUGACACUCCUAUUUACUGUUAGUCUUUAAAUGUACACUAUUCACUGCUACUAUUUGCAUGUCACUUUUAAAAGUUUUAAUAAAGAUGUUCAGUGUUUUCUGUAUUACAGCUUUACUUUUAAUGGUGUUUCCAAAACACAGAAGUAUAUCAGAGAAAUGUAUUGGAGCUCCACCUUUGUGCAUUGGUGGAAAAGUUUCGGGUUUGACUGAAAUGAAACUGAAAAACUGACAAUGCAUUAAAAAGAUGCAACAACAGGUGACAGGUCACACAGUGGAGCAUCGACAUCAGAAGUACAGUCCCCUACAGAUAUUCAACUCAUCCAACAUGGAGAACUUUUGUCACUGCGGCCGGUCUUUCGCAACUUACCAUGGCCUGAGAGUUCACCAGGGAAGGAUGGGCUGCACACCAAAGGGAAUGAGGAUCCCUGAAAGUGGGCAAUCUAGUUUCCAUCCCAUGCCAAGCUUUAUGGGAUCUCUAAUCAGACAAGAGCCUUCGAUGGGCAUGUGUAUGAGUCUGGAUUAUAGGGCUCAAGAGAGACAAGACAGAGAGAGAGAACGAGUGAGACAAGAACGAGAGAGACAAGAA